AUUGAACGCUGGCGGCAGGCCUAACACAUGCAAGUCGAACGAGUGGCGAACGGGUGAGUAAUGUCUGGGAAACUGCCCGAUGGAGGGGGAUAACUACUGGAAACGGUAGCUAAUCCCGCAUACCAUCGGAUGUGCCCAGAUGGGAUUAGCUUGUAGGUGAGGUAACGGCUCACCUAGGCGACGCUCCCUAGCUGGUCUGAGAGGAUGACCAGACACACGGGAACUGAGAAAAGGGCCAGACUCCUACGGGAGGCAGCAGGGGGGAAUAGUGCGAAAGGGGGGCAAGUCUGACGCAGCCAUGCCGCGUGUAUGAAGAAGGAUUUCGGGUUGUAAAGUACUGUCGGUGGGGAGGCGUUACCCACAGAAGAAGCACCGGCUAACUCCGUGCCAGCAGCUGCGGUAAUAC
RNAcentral lists this ribosomal RNA (406 nucleotides) under uncultured bacterium. RNAcentral's name for it is "partial 16S ribosomal RNA". It matches the Rfam family "Bacterial small subunit ribosomal RNA", at positions 29 to 526 of the family's 1533-position model. The record is from RNAcentral.